Ornithorhynchus anatinus (platypus) is the source of this 1714-nucleotide RNA transcript. It is a transcript of the gene named armadillo repeat containing 10, with no coding region annotated. The record is from RefSeq and is a predicted model, not a curated record. NCBI's taxonomy places the organism in Eukaryota, Metazoa, Chordata, Mammalia, Monotremata, Ornithorhynchidae. The transcript is spliced from 7 exons.
GCGGAGAGUCGUGGCGCGCGCUCGAAGGGCCGGGCCACGUGUGGGAGGAGGCCGGUUUCCCCUUCCCGGCGGGAGGGGAGGGGAGGGGGAUGGGGGCGGCGGCGCGUGCGUCGGCUUGGUUGUGGGGCGCAGUGUUGGGGGCGGGGGCCUGCUACUGCGCCUACCGGCUGGCGCGGUCCGAGCGGACCAGACGCUCCUCGGGGCGCCCCGACGCCCCCUGCAGGCCGGGUAUUGCCAACAUUCCUCAAUCACCCGGUAGUCUAGAAGCGCCGGAUUUACAAAAACUCAUUUGUUUGCUCGAAGCUGAGGAUCCACUAGUUCGUGAGAAAGCCUUGAUCACUUUGGGCAACAGUGCUGCUUUCUCAGCCAACCAGGAAAUCAUACGGGAUUUUGGAGGCCUCCCGGCUAUUGGGAACCUGCUCGACGAUCCCAACGUCAAGGUGAAGGAGAAGGCCUUAGAUGCCCUCAAUAACCUAAGCAUGAAUUUGCGAAAUCAGGAAGAGAUUAAGGUGUUCAUCGGCAAAGUCUGCGAGGAGACCUGUUCCUCUCCUUUGAACUCAGAACUCCAGCUAGCCGGACUGCGAUUAUUGACCAACAUGUCCGUUACCAAUGACUACCAGCACCUGGUGGCGGAUUCGAUUUCCAACUUCCUCUAUCUGCUCUCAGCAGGGAAUGAAAAAACCCAGGUUCAAGUUUUGAAAGUGCUUGUGAAUUUGUCUGCGAAUCCAGCCAUGACCAAAGAGCUUCUUGGCGCCCAGGCACCUCUGUCUCUGAUUUCCCUCUUGGACAGCGGCGUGGCGCGAGAGGUCCUCCUUCGCAUCGUUAGGCUGGUCGCCAAUUUAAAUGACCACGUGAGCCGCAAGGAGAGCACGGCUUGGCGUCCGCUCUCUGAGGAUUCACUCUUUGCUCUCCUGUACGGAGAGUCUGGCCUGUGUGCCCAGAAACUGACUGCCUUAACCCGCCACCCCGACCCAGAAGUGAAAGAGCAAAUCACCAGAAUUACAGCCAUUGCGCCGUGACCCACCAGACAUUCUCCGAGGACUCUUCUCCAGGACGGUUCCCGGAGGCAAAACUGAGGAGGAAAUGGCUCUUUUGAAGCCCAGCGCACGAGAUGUGUGGGGACAACCCAUUUUCUGGGGUAUCCUGAGAUGGAGGAACCGUCUGAGACAUAUUCCAGGAUCCAAGCAAUGAAGGAAGCUGGACACUGCAACAGCCUUUCCCAACUUCAGUCUCAGCUGAAUUUUGAGUCUUCCAAAGGGCACGUAAGCUUUCUGGAUUCAUUUCCUUACCUCCUGUACCACUGGACAAUGUGCUACUCUAAGAAAAGAAUUCAGUGACAGUGCUGUGUGAAAUGAAGAAAUACUGGUUGAAAAGCACCGCUUUGGAUAUAGAAAAGAAAUGAAACAGGUAGCUGCUAGCAGCUAUAAGCAUUUGUGAGCAAUCUAUCUUCAGUCCUUUAACGUUUUUGAAUAAACAUUUGUUUAGUGUCCAGUUACUUAUAAAAGAAUGGACAGGCAGAAUACACUUUGGAACAUUACAGCAUUGAAAGUACUGCCAAAGUACCUGAUGUUUAGAAAAGGGAGGAUUAUUUAAACAGAAACACAAUCCAGCAAUACAGUGAAAGAACCAGGUGAAAUAUAUAUGUUGAACUCAAGUAAGCAGCCUAUCCUAUCUCUAUUGAACUGAAUAAAAAUAAUGGUACUUGUUAAGAGCU